Salmo salar (Atlantic salmon) is the source of this 54-nucleotide non-coding RNA. Lineage: Eukaryota; Metazoa; Chordata; Actinopteri; Salmoniformes; Salmonidae. The record is from Rfam.
UGUAUUCACUACUGUAAGUUGCUCUGGAUAAGGGUGUCUGCUAAAUGACUAAAA